Pelobates cultripes (western spadefoot toad) is the source of this 381-nucleotide non-coding RNA. Lineage: Eukaryota; Metazoa; Chordata; Amphibia; Anura; Pelobatidae. The record is from the annotation of a GenBank genome assembly.
GGUGGAUAGGCUUUCCCUGAGGUCUAGUGGGGCUGCUGUCCUCUCCCUACGCAGCUCCUUCUCGCGCACUGUUUGGUGAGCCAGAGUGAUGUCAUAACCCGGCUCACGGCAUCACUACAAGCUGUGCGAGGGAGCAGAGCAGGGAGGUUACAGCUCGCCGCGGCAUUGUCAUCCGUCCGCCUGCCUCCCUCUGCUCUCCAUUACCCUGUUGCCCCCUCAGUCAGAGGUCUGCCUCCCUCAGCAAUAAACAAACCGGCUGCCCCACCCCCUCUGUCAGCCGCCUGCCUCCCUCUCACAGCUCUCCAUGAGCCGGCUGGCCGCCUCCCUCAAGCCUCCGUGAAACGACUGCCCGUCUCUGCUCUCAGGCAGCUAGUCACCUCA